AUGCAGUCUCUGUUCAAGAAACUUUCAGUGCUUCCUAACGCCGAUGGCCCAUUGCUGGGGGCACAGCUGGGCACAACAGGGCGAUGCACGGCAGCAGGACAGCACCUGGGGGUGCCUGCAGUGCACAGAGCCCAAAGCCUCACUUCCUAUGGAGAGCUUUAUCCCAGAGCUGUGCUCCCGCAGCAUCCUGCCGGCACUACACAAAGCAGGACUGGGAUUUACGGCUGUAACUUCCUAAAAAAAAGGGGACCAGAGACGGGGGAAAGGCAGGCCCGGCGCCGGGAAGCCCAAACAAAGGGCAGGGAGCAGGUAACUGCCAUCGGCACGGAACGCGCCGAGGCGGGCAGGCUCCGCAGGCGGCAGGGCCGGGCUACAGGAAAGUUUGAGCGCUCCGACGGGGCAGAGGGGCGAUCCGAGAACCGCAGCGCUCCGGGGGGGCACGGCGGCCCGGCCCCGCUUCGGGCAGCGGCUCUCCCCAGCCAAGGCCUGGCGCUGGGGGCGGCGGGGUCCGCNNNNNNNNNNNNNNNNNNNNNNNNNNNNNGGGGGGGGGGGGGGGGGGGGGGGGGGGGGGGGGGGGGGGGGGGGGGGGAGAGAGGCGAUCCCCCCUUUUUUCUCAGCGCAUUUGGAGGGGAGCGGGGCCCGCGGACACGGGGGCGGGACGCGGGCCGGGCCGGGCGGAGCGAGCGGCCGCCGGCGGCUCGGGGGGAACCGAAGGGGGCAGCGCUCCGGGGAUCGCCUCCCGAGGGGACGGAGCCGGGACCCCCGGGGGCGGGCGGGCGGCUGCGGCCCGGCGGCGGGGCGGGCGGUCGGGGCGGCCGACCCGGGCGGAGGAACGGGACCGAGGCGCCGCGCGAGCCCCGGGGCGGGCGGCAAAAGCGGCGGGUAGGGGCGAGGAGGCGCGGGGCGCUCGGUCGGUGCCCCAGUCAGUCAAUCAGUCCCUCGGCCGGUCGGCGGUCACUCACCCGUGCGGCGGGUGGGGCGGCGGGGAGAGGAGCCGCUCGGGCACACCCCCACCCCCCGUCGCCGCCGGUCUCUCACGGCCGCUCGCUCGCCGGGACCGUCCCUUUCAUUCGGGGCAGGGGACGCUACGCUGCGCCGCCGCCGCCGCCGAGCGCAAGCACGCACGCACGCACGCACGAGCGGACGCACGCACGCACGCACGCACGGCGCGCUCGGGCCGCGACGCCGCGACGCUGCGGGGCGGUGCCCGAUUGGCGCGCGAGGAGGCGCGGCGGGAGCACGCCGGCUUCCUGCGCAUGCGCGCCGCCGCGCGCCUACUGCUCCCCCUCCCCGGCGCCGCACCCCCACAGUCCGCUCCUCCGCGAGGCCCGGAGUCGAGGGAGCCUGGAAACGGAAGGGGGAGUGGCGGGCGCGCUCUGCGCGUGCGCAUCUCUCACCGGCGGCCGUUGGAAGCCGGUGGGGGGGGGAGAGGACGGGCUGCCGGCUCCGCGCAGGCGCGGUGCUUGA
This 1467-nucleotide long non-coding RNA is filed under the name Phasianus colchicus (ring-necked pheasant). RNAcentral's name for it is "lncRNA (ENSPCLG00000006166.1)". Lineage: Eukaryota; Metazoa; Chordata; Aves; Galliformes; Phasianidae. The record is from RNAcentral.